AUAGCUAGGCAUGAAUCCUGGCGCUCCUUUCAUUUCCGAGGCAGCGUCGUCUUGAAAAGUACCUUUAGAUGUGAGGUUGGCUACUACUGGAUUAUUCUGAAGAGGGUAGCUAUUAUUACUUCGCAGUUCUGCUGAGCUGUGCAAGGGGAAGUUCAUGAUUGAUGAAGACUGUGAAGCUGGAUUAUUAUAUCCCAUUGGUCUGUUGCUUUCGUCCAUACCAUUUCUCGACAUGAUACCGCCAGCAAGGGUAUUUGACAUGAUCGGCUGACCUACAGUCGAAGGAAUCCUAGGAACUUGGUUGGCUACAGUAUGAUCAUUUAGCAUCUGUGCUCUAGACUGUGGUUGAGA
RNAcentral lists this long non-coding RNA (348 nucleotides) under Linum usitatissimum (flax). Its description in RNAcentral is "long non-coding RNA (LUSI_LNC001205)". Lineage: Eukaryota; Viridiplantae; Streptophyta; Magnoliopsida; Malpighiales; Linaceae. The record is from RNAcentral.